Cygnus olor (mute swan) is the source of this 461-nucleotide long non-coding RNA. RefSeq lists it as uncharacterized. The record is from RefSeq and is a predicted model, not a curated record. Lineage: Eukaryota; Metazoa; Chordata; Aves; Anseriformes; Anatidae. The transcript has 2 exons.
CGCGCGGGGUGGGAGGGGUGGGGAGGGAGCGCGCGCGCGCGUGCGUGCGCGCGCAGCGGGCGGCCGUUGGGGUAACGGCCGCCCUGAGGUGGAUUCCGCGUCGGGCUGUGGGCUUCUCGUUGGGGCUGUUUCUGAGGUGGUUGUGAGGCGCUUCUCCCACGUACAUUCGGCUGUCCCCCUAAAUACACCACGUAGGGUUAUUCCAGAAGUGCUCGCUGAUCCCGGUGCUUUUGGAAGCUUCCAUAAUGAUGCGUUUCGGUGUUCUUCCAGGUCUCCUGCUCAUCAGCUUCGCUUUACUGGACACCAAGAAGUCUUAAGUGCAGCACUGUGCAAGUGAACAUGAAGCAAGUAAAGGUAGAUUUUCUCACGUCCUUCCAUGGAAUAAUAAUUUGCUGAACAGCAGGGAUGUUGUAAAGAAGCAAGCAUUCUUGUAAAGCAUUAAACUCCAAAAACUUGGAAAA